RNAcentral lists this ribosomal RNA (380 nucleotides) under uncultured eukaryote. RNAcentral describes it as "partial 18S ribosomal RNA". It matches the Rfam family "Eukaryotic small subunit ribosomal RNA", at positions 592 to 976 of the family's 1831-position model. The record is from RNAcentral.
CAAUAGCGUAUAUUAAAGUUGUUGCAGUUAAAAAGCUCGUUGCUGGAUUUGUGGCGUACGGUGUGUUCCGGGCACUUGUUGUCUGAGUAACCUGCUGUUGCCAUCCUUGGGUGGAACCUGUGUGGCAUUAGGUUGUCGUGCAGGGGAUGCCCAUCAUUUACUGUGAAAAAAUUAGAGUGUUCAAAGCAGGCUUAUGCCGUUGAAUAUAUUAGCAUGGAAUAAUGAGAUAGGACUUUUUUGCUAUUUUGUUGGUUUGCGCAAAGAGGUAAUGAUUAAUAGGGACAGUUGGGGGUAUUCGUAUUCCAUUGUCAGAGGUGAAAUUCUUGGAUUUUUGGAAGACGAACUACUGCGAAAGCAUUUACCAAGGAUGUUUUCAUUAA